UACGGGGGGGGCAAGCGUUGUUCGGAAUUACUGGGCGUAAAGGGCUCGUAGGUGGCCAACUAAGUCAGACGUGAAAUCCCUCGGCUUAACCGGGGAACUGCGUCGGAUACUGGAUGGCUUGAGUUCGGGAGAGGGAUGCGGAAUUCCAGGUGUAGCGGUGGAAUGCGUAGAUAUCUGGAGGAACACCGGUGGCGAAGGCGGCAUCCUGGACCGACACUGACACUGAGGAGCGAAAGCCAGGGGAGCAAACGGG
RNAcentral lists this ribosomal RNA (253 nucleotides) under uncultured bacterium. RNAcentral's name for it is "partial 16S ribosomal RNA". It matches the Rfam family "Bacterial small subunit ribosomal RNA", at positions 524 to 776 of the family's 1533-position model. The record is from RNAcentral.